This 515-nucleotide ribosomal RNA is filed under the name uncultured bacterium. RNAcentral's name for it is "partial 16S ribosomal RNA". It matches the Rfam family "Bacterial small subunit ribosomal RNA", at positions 28 to 523 of the family's 1533-position model. The record is from RNAcentral.
GAUGAACGCUGGCGGCGUGCCUAAUACAUGCAAGUCGAGCGAAUGGAUUAAGAGCUUGCUCUUAUGAAGUUAGCGGCGGACGGGUGAGUAACACGUGGGUAACCUGCCCAUAAGACUGGGAUAACUCCGGGAAACCGGGGCUAAUACCGGAUAACAUUUUGAACCGCAUGGUUCGAAAUUGAAAGGCGGCUUCGGCUGUCACUUAUGGAUGGACCCGCGUCGCAUUAGCUAGUUGGUGAGGUAACGGCUCACCAAGGCAACGAUGCGUAGCCGACCUGAGAGGGUGAUCGGCCACACUGGGACUGAGAACCGGACCAGACUCCUACGGGAGGCAGCAGUAGGGAAUCUUCCGCAAUGGACGAAAGUCUGACGGAGCAACGCCGCGUGAGUGAUGAAGGCUUUCGGGUCGUAAAACUCUGUUGUUAGGGAAGAACGAGUGCUAGUUGAAUAAGCUGGCACCUUGACGGUACCUAACCAGAAAGCCACGGCUAACUACGUGCCAGCCGCCGCAGUAA